GAGGAACCUGCCCCGAAGACUGGAAUAACCCGGGGAAACUCGGGCUAAUACCGGAUAUCCCCACCAGGUCGCAUGGCCAGGUGAGGAAAUGCUCCGGCGCUUCGGGAGGGUCUCGCGGCCUAUCAGCUAGUUGGUGAGGUAACGGCUCACCAAGGCAUCGACGGGUAGCUGGUCUGAGAGGACGAUCAGCCACACUGGGACUGAGACACGGCCCAGACUCCUACGGGAGGCAGCAGUGGGGAAUCUUGCGCAAUGGGCGAAAGCCUGACGCAGCCACGCCGCGUGAGGGAUGAAGGCUUUCGGGUUGUAAACCUCUUUCAGCAGGGACGAAAAUGACGGUACCUGCAGAAGAAGCUCCGGCCAACUACGUGCCAGCAGCCGCGGUAACACGUAGGGAGCAAGCGUUGUCCGGAUUUAUUGGGCGUAAAGAGCUCGUAGGCGGUUCAGUCAGUCGGGUGUGAAAACUUGAGGCUCAACCUCAAGAGGCCACUCGAUACUGCUGUGACUAGAGUCCGGUAGAGGAGUGUGGAAUUCCUGGUGUAGCGGUGAAAUGCGCAGAUAUCAGGAGGAACACCGACAGCGAAGGCAGCACUCUGGGCCGGUACUGACGCUGAGGAGCGAAAGCAUGGGGAGCAAACAGGAUUAGAUACCCUGGUAGUCCAUGCCGUAAACGUUGGGCACUAGGUGUGGGGUCUCGCUAACAGAUCCCGUGCCGCAGCUAACGCAUUAAGUGCCCCGCCUGGGG
RNAcentral lists this ribosomal RNA (745 nucleotides) under uncultured marine bacterium. RNAcentral describes it as "bacterial SSU rRNA". It matches the Rfam family "Bacterial small subunit ribosomal RNA", at positions 119 to 878 of the family's 1533-position model. The record is from RNAcentral.